This 118-nucleotide ribosomal RNA is filed under the name bacterium. The record is from RNAcentral. RNAcentral also lists the same sequence under 2 other names.
UCUGGUGCUGAUGACUUAUAGGGCUACACCCGUUUCCAUUCCGAACACGAAGGUUAAGCCUAUAGGUGCCGAUGAUACUGCAGGGGCAGCUCUGUGGGAAAGCAGGUUGACGCCAGAU